UCUUCCCCAAUCCUUCUCGAAACCCUUCUUUGCUUCUAAGCUCCCUAAUUCUCCUCUCUCUUCUCUACUUCUAAUCCCUACCCUUAUCUCUCUGUAUCUCUCUCUGUCUCUCUCUCAUUCCCAUCAUCUCCCAAUUCACGCUCCUCAAUCCGAGGUCUCAUCGGAUCGCGAUUGGGAUCAGGUUGGUCACGCCAUCAUCCCGGUUAGCCAUCCAUCUCCAUCGAGGGUUGCUAACAGGUCCGGUACAUAACAAUUGGUAUCAGAGCAGUUUCGAUCCCAGGGAAGGGAUGAAACUUAUACUUGCAUCAUGGUGGGAUAUCACAAGAAUGGAGCAGUAAUGGAUCUCGAGUAGCACCUGGAGCAAGAACUCAAGUGGUAGCAUCAGAUCUACCUGGGAAGGAUCACAGUAGCGACCGGAGACAUUGCCACUACGAUAACAAGGUGGUAUCAGAUUGCAACUAGUAGAGAGGCGAUUUGAUUUUAUAAAGCUAUAACAUCAGGUAUUGUAGAAAUCUUUGCAUCCUUUUGAAUCAUUGAUUGCAUGUAUGCAAGAAUUGGUUAAUAAGGGAUCAGACCUGAUAAACAUCACAAGAAUCUUUUUCAUUGCUACUUGAAUCAAAUUGAUAGAGGGGUCAUAGAAGCAACAAGUUCUUGGUAGUAUCAUAGUUAAAAUUGGGCCAGUGAAGGGGAAUUUCAUCAAACACCUUGCAGGCAUCAGGUAAUCAAGUUUUGUUCCACAAUUUUAAUUCCAGAAUUGAGAUACAAUUGGUUAAAUUGCUGCAAAUGGAAAUAUAUUGAAGGAUUAGACAGCUGGUUAGUGUUCUCUUGAUUGGAACAGUCAUCAGAUCCCAAAGAACAUCAUAGGCACCACGAUAGUUCAUUGAAGCCAAUAGAAAAAUGGCUAAUGGAACAAGGUUGCAACAACAAACCACUAGCUAUAAUCAAAGCUUUGAAGAAGCAUUACAAAGUGCUCGGGAUGUUAAUCAAAAGUUAGAUGUCAUAAUUGAAGCACUACAAAAGGAAGAGGCAAGGAGGCACGAAAUCAUGAUGCAGGAGAAUGCCCGCAGACAUGAACAACUCCUAGAGUUGAUUAGGAGCCGAUUUGUGCAUGCUAGAGAAGAAGAGAUAACAGUGCAGGUUCCAAAAGAAGAGAAAAAGCUAAUACCCAUACCCAUUCCUCUAGAGAAAAGAGUGAGUUCACUAACUAAUUCCGUAAUCGACCAACCAGCUGCAGUGAAGGAAGUAGAGCAAAAGCACAAAACGAGUCUACAGAUUGAGGCCAACAGGAUGUGUAAAGUGAAGUUGAGGGACAGUGUUAGCAAGCCGGAGGAGCUGCUGAAGCCGCUUGCAGCACAGCCACCUCUAUUCAAGCCUGCCCACAAUGCCCUAAACGCCUACGCGGCUUCAACAAAAUUUGGAAGUACUGCAGAAGCUGCCAAGAACAUAGCUCACAAUUCUAAAGAAAGCAUUGAUUAUUAUCUUAUCGAAGGGGCUGUACCAAGUGAGCAAACGAAGACGCAAGGGCUAAGGGAAGAAUACGGAGAGGAGUUUAUUACAGAAAGGCAAUGUGAGAAUAGCCCCCUGCAUAUGUUACCGACACAGAAAAAGGUUGAAAUGGGUGUUGAAUCUGAAACAGCAAAAGAAGAAGAAAGGGAGCUACAAAAAGUAGAUGAAGGGAAUGUCUAUGAGGCUAUAGGUAUCCAGGAGUCAGGCAACCAAACCCAAUUAAUUUUGAAUGAUGAUAGAAACCUACAUAGCCUCAUUGACUUCGGGAUUGCAAAGGCUACCCAAGUUGAAUCUACUACUUUUGCAACCUUGAGAACGAUAGCGGACUGUGAUCACAAGAUGCUAAACAAAAGUUAUUACCCUCAGUUUGCAAAGAAUGAGCGAGAACAUCAGUUCCUUGCUGAUUCAAGAAAAUUGGGGCUCAAAGAUUCAGAUGCAGUGCUUGGAGUUUAUUGGAUGAAGGAAUUUAGGCAAGUGCCUUUUGAUCCAGGACCUAACAAGGUAACAAUUCAUAGUAUUGAAGAAGCUUCUCACAUGCCUAACAUCACAAAUGAAAUGCCCAUGGUAAUCAAGCAUAGAGCACAAUUACUAGCAGCUCAGCCCUAUAUGAUUAAAUCUGGAGCAACAAUGGAGAAGAUGCAUUCUUGUAUACAAAAGCUACAUAGAGAAAUUGAAGAUGAAGGUAGUAAGCCAGCUACACCACAUGGUUGCAAUCGAUCUUCUAUAUUGGGAACAAGUACAGUUUUAAGCCCAGAAAAUAGACCCCUUGCUUAUCUCAGUCCAAUAUGGAACCAAAUUCAUUAUGUGCAGUCCACCUAUGAGAACGAAUUCAUUGCAAUUCUAUGGGAAGAGAGCAAUCUGUAUCAUGCCAAGUCCUUCCCGACAAUGGAAUUUCUGUGGCUCGAUGGAAAUAACACUUGGAAGUGGAUUAGCAGUUAUGAGAAUUACUGUAAGCUACACCAAAUCAGUAAUCAACAAAAGGUGGAAAUUGCAACAAUGUUGAGGCAGCAAAUGAGACCACAAGACUUGCGGGUUCAAAUGCUAAGUCCAAUUCUUAGUCUGGCAGAGGCUUGCUAUGUGUGGGAUUAUGUGAAUGAGUACAAGAAGCUAGGAACUGUGCUUAAGAUGCCUCACCCAUGCUCGCGAUUUCUGGCCUAUGAACAAGACAAACUGCAGGAAUCUGAUGAAUUGAUUGCCUAUCUAAACAAUGGAUUGAAUCAAAAGCAUCAAGGAAGAUCCAUCUAUAAGAUGGAGACAAUUGCAAUUAUGCUGGUGGUGGCCACAUCGGAACAAAAUGUAAAACACAAGCAGUUAGUCAGCAGGAUAAACCAUGGAGACCACAAACAACUACUGGAACAGAAGGAUCACAUUGUUAUCCAGCAACUAGAGCAAAACUGUAAUGUGGGCUUAAGAGCUAAGAAGAAAAUUAGGCUCAAACAAUGCCACUAUGGGCUGUCCCCUGCAAGAUGGUGGAAGAAAGAGCAGGUCAUACACUUCUUUGAAGAACCACCAAACAAGCAACAACAGAGGAAAGAGUAUAAUGCUGAUAAAAGAAGAAGUAAAGGAGUUUUUGAGGUGAAAGAGCAAUUAUGCUUGAAGUUGUUACUCUGUGAGCAACCUAUCAUGUCUCUGGAAGGGUAUCUGAGGCUCACAAUUAACCAAUUUGGACUUUACUAUAUCUCGGAGCAAACAAGAUCGGCGGCGCGCAGGUUGCGACUACCUGAUGGUCCCAAGGGUGAACUCCUGCCCCAACAAGGCCGCCGUCCAUGCUACCAGCCGGAGGAGAUGGUCGAGUGUAGACAUAAUUGGAAAACACCUCAGAUCGGCGUGAAGGGGGGCAAGAAAACAGAACCGAUAUUAGAAAAUGGCUUAAAAGAAGCAAUUUUGAAGAAGAAGAAUGUGCCGCGGGGGGAAACCAAUGGGAGCCCCAAACCAGUCAGCAAGAUCCAUCCUUGAGGACAAGGAUGAUUUUAAGGGGAAGGGAUUGUAACAACCCUGAAGAAUAAAUGGUAGAAGUAGUAGUAGCAUUAGUAGUUAGAUGUAGAAGAGGAGUAAAGGUAAACUUUACAAAGUAGAGCAGAGAAGUGACAGCAGGAGGUUGGUGAGGAGUGAGCUCGGCGGAGCGAUCCGGCGAGAAGGCGCUUGGGCGGAACUCCAGCGGCAAGGCGCCUUCGAAGGGGCCCAGGCGAGCUCGACGGAAUCCAUGUCGUUGGGGCGGAGGAGAAAGCUGGCGGAUUGGGCGGUCGGAUUACCGGAUCGGGCAUAAAACGCGAACCCAAGCCCCGCCGGGUCGCGGAUGAUGCGAAGAAGGAGGAGUCCGGCACCCGCCUACCCACUUACCGGCACUACCGGGUAGGGAGGCCCAGAGAGGUCGCCCAACAACCCGAAUGGCAGCCCAGCCCAUCAGCAUCUCAUUUUGUCACUUUGCUACUUAGCCCUCAAAGAUUAUGUAAUUUCCACUACAGUUUAAGUCCUAAGAAGUAUAAGUACGAGAAUGUAUGGCAAACAGAGGCAUCGAUGAAAUGAAAUAUUGCUUAUCUUCUUCCCCAAUCCUUCUCUAAACCCUUCUUUGCUUCUAAGCUCCCUAAUUCUCCUCUCUCUUCUCUACUUCUAAUCCCUAUCCUCAUCUCUCUGUAUCUCUCUCUGUCUCUCUCAUUCCCAUCAUCUCCCAAUUCACGCUCCUCAAUCCGAGGUCUCAUCGGAUCGCGAUUGGGAUCAGGUUGGUCACGCCAUCAUCCCGGUUAGCCAUCCAUCUCCAUCGAGGGUUGCUAACAG
Molecule: long non-coding RNA, 4281 nt
Filed under: Ananas comosus (pineapple)
Lineage: Eukaryota; Viridiplantae; Streptophyta; Magnoliopsida; Poales; Bromeliaceae
Description: long non-coding RNA (ACOM_LNC039549)
Source: RNAcentral